This is a long non-coding RNA of Haliotis rufescens (red abalone), 632 nucleotides long. RefSeq lists it as uncharacterized. The transcript has 3 exons. Lineage: Eukaryota; Metazoa; Mollusca; Gastropoda; Lepetellida; Haliotidae. The record is from RefSeq and is a predicted model, not a curated record.
UAAUUGCCCUUUCAUUGAGUUUUAUGAGUUUAAAUGUGCCGCCGGGAUUGGCUCUAUUACGUCACGUGACCACAGAAUCGGGGAAAAUUACGGCCCUGUUCUGACGUUAUAGGUACUAAAUCAUAGAUUUAUGCCGAAAUGUAUGGCCCUUGAAAGCCUAUAUGGCUGGCAAUGAUUCCUGUCCCAGUGUCCGUCUCACAAGCCUUGAACACAGAAGGUUAUAGCUCCCAUCUCUUGCAUUUAGGAAAAUACAAAACUCCUUCCAGUUUUAUAUAAAGAAUGGAUGGGUAUAUUUUCACCGUGUGCUUUCUAAAAGCAGGAUUACGUGUUAAAGCGAAUAGGGAGCGAAUUAGAAGGUGAAACGUGUGUGGUUGAUGGAUUAUCGAUUUCUGGUACGUCGGUGGAUCUCGAAGAAAGACUUCAUCGGCAUGGAGUCUUAAAAGAAACGGAUAUUAUCUUCACACAGACACUGAUUUCGCGUUGACCAGGACGAGGUGUGGGACGCUGAGCUUCAUACUGAAGAUUAAAAUCGUCGCAACUAGCAGCAAGAUUACCGAUGUGGGUAAAGGCAAUACUCACCUGAACUCAACUCAACUCAACUCAACUCACUCAAUCAGUGACUCACUCAAGAU